RNAcentral lists this ribosomal RNA (253 nucleotides) under uncultured bacterium. RNAcentral's name for it is "partial 16S ribosomal RNA". It matches the Rfam family "Bacterial small subunit ribosomal RNA", at positions 524 to 776 of the family's 1533-position model. The record is from RNAcentral.
GACAGAGGGUGCAAACGUUGCUCGGAAUCACUGGGCGUAAAGGGCGUGUAGGCGGGAAGGAAAGUCAGAUGUGAAAUCCUGGAGCUCAACUCCAGAACUGCCUUUGAUACUGGAGAGCUUGAGUCCGGGAGAGGUGAGUGGAACUCCGAGUGUAGAGGUGAAACUCGUAGAUAUUCGGAAGAACACCGGUGGCGAAGGCGGCAUCCUGGACCAUUACUGACGCUGAGGAGCGAAAGCCAGGGGAGCAAACGGG